GAAACUCAAAAUUUAACACCUGUAGAAGAUCAGGUUCCUGAUGGAAAUUACGAACAUAGUAAGGAGGCAAGAGAAGAACAUUACAAGGGAGACGAUGCUUCCAGUGCAGUUGUCCAUGAAACUCAAAAUUUAACACCUGUAGAAGAGCAAGGUGGUUUGGAGAAGACUAACGAGGCAGAGCAUGUGAAGAACAAAGAAAAGAAUGAGUCUGGAUAUGACAGUAAAACAAAUAUCUCCGAGAUUGUUGAUGUCAAUCAAAAUGAAGUUCCAAAUGGCGAACCAGUGGAAAAUAAAAAUGCCACAAAUCCAGCCAAUGAACAGAGUGGCAAUGAAAGUAGUAAGCAAGGAUCGGAGGAUGGUUCCCAUGAUACGUCUGCAGUAGCAACAGAAAAAAAUGAUCAGCAGCUGAUGGAUUCUAACUCCAGUCCAGUUACUUCAGAACAUCAUGAUUCUUCACCUCAAAAUCCAAAUGAAACUCCAGAUAACACAAAGUCAAAGGGAGAGGAUUCAACUAAGAAUGAUGUUGUCCUACACGUACAAACAGAGAAAUCUGACUCAGAUGCCAGUGGCCAGCAAUCAGAUUUGAAUGUGACACCUUCCACUGCAACUGAGAAUGUAGAUUCAACUAAUCAAGAAUCAACAGAUUCUAGCAAUUCUGAGUCUGUUUCAUCUAAUGGGCUAACUGUUGAGUCCAAUAAGCCUUCAUCAGCGAGCCAAAAUAAUAAUGCAGUUCAGGGUGAAAAGUCCGAUGGUACUACCAGAGAGGGAAAUCAAGAAAUUGUUUUAUUGUCAAACACAAAUGAAAAUGCAGAUGCAGGGCAGAAGGAACAUGUUGAUUCUUCAAACUCCAUAGAGAAAGACGCAUCAUCAAAUACAAAUAACAAUGUGGAUGCUGACCAAAACGAACAUGUUGAUUCUUCAGAUUCCCAAGAGAAAGAUGUGUCCUCAAACACAAAAGAUAACGGUGAUUCUGGCCAGAAUCAGAGUGAAAAUUCUGUUCACAGCAGCACAAAUGACAAUACAGUCACAAGCCAGAAAGAACAGGUUGAUUCUAACAGCGGUGAUGCUGAUCAUAAUGAGAACAACAAUACCGUUGAAAGCAACACAAAUGACAACAGCAAUACAAAUGUCAACACAGAUGCAAGCCAAGAG
Molecule: unclassified non-coding RNA, 1152 nt
Filed under: Hevea brasiliensis (rubber tree)
Lineage: Eukaryota; Viridiplantae; Streptophyta; Magnoliopsida; Malpighiales; Euphorbiaceae
Source: RNAcentral